UCAGACGAUGCGUCAUGCAUAUCAAUAAGCGGAGGAAAAGAAACUAACAAGGAUUCCCUUAGUAACGGCGAGUGAAGCGGGAAGAGCUCAAAUUUGAAAUCUUCAAGGUUUUACCUUGACGAAUUGUAGUUUAAAGAAGUGUUUUCUGCUGAAGUUUUGGUAAAAGUUCUUUGGAAUAGGACAUCAUAGAGGGUGAGAAUCCCGUAUUUGACCAUUAUUUUCAGCUGUGUGAUACACUUUCAAAGAGUCGGAUUGUUUGGGAAUGCAGUCCAAAAUGGGUGGUAAAUUUCAUCUAAAGCUAAAUAUUGGCGAGAGACCGAUAGCGAACAAGUACCGUGAGGGAAAGAUGAAAAGAACUUUGAAAAGAGAGUUAAACAGUACGUGAAAUUGUCAAAAGGGAAGCGUUUGACACCAGUGUUGUUUUCUCGAAAAUCAAUUAAAAAGAGUUUGAUUUUGUUGUGUAUUGACCUUAACAGCUUGCAUUUCAAUUUUCUUGCUUUUUUUAAUGCACUUUUCGUUUAACAAGUCAACAUCAGUUUCUUUUGUUGUAAAAAGGUCAUUGGAAGGUGGCUUUCUUUUCGGAGAAAGUGUUUAUAGCCUUUGACUCCUGCAAUCGGAGAGACUGAGGUCUGCAGCGUAGAUCCUUCGGGGUUAGAUACAUUUGUGCUAAGUUAUAGCUUUUUAUAGACAACUUGUUGACUAUGAUUAGUCUUGUAGCUUACUCGCUUAUGCUAUUUUACCUACGCUUAGGAUGUUGAGUCGUAGAGCACGCAG
This 774-nucleotide ribosomal RNA is filed under the name uncultured Neocallimastigales. RNAcentral's name for it is "partial large subunit ribosomal RNA". It matches the Rfam family "Eukaryotic large subunit ribosomal RNA", at positions 18 to 622 of the family's 3401-position model. The record is from RNAcentral. Lineage: Eukaryota; Fungi; Neocallimastigomycota; Neocallimastigomycetes; Neocallimastigales.